UAGAUAAUUACAAUUAAAUAGCCUAACAG
Molecule: small RNA, 29 nt
Filed under: Bombyx mori (domestic silkworm)
Lineage: Eukaryota; Metazoa; Arthropoda; Insecta; Lepidoptera; Bombycidae
Description: ovarian small RNA-22065
Source: RNAcentral